GACGAACGCUGGCGGCGUGCUUAACACAUGCAAGUCGAACGGAAAGGCCCUGCUUUUGUGGGGUGCUCGAGUGGCGAACGGGUGAGUAACACGUGAGUAACCUGCCCUUGACUUUGGGAUAACUUCAGGAAACUGGGGCUAAUACCGGAUAGGAGCUCCUGCUGCAUGGUGGGGGUUGGAAAGUUUCGGCGGUUGGGGAUGGACUCGCGGCUUAUCAGCUUGUUGGUGGGGUAGUGGCUUACUAAGGCUUUGACGGGUAGCCGGCCUGAGAGGGUGACCGGCCACAAUGGGACUGAGAUACGGCCCAGACUCCUACGGGAGGCAGCAGUGGGGAAUAUUGCACAAUGGGCGGAAGCCUGAUGAAGCAACGCCGCGUGCGGGAUGACGGCCUUCGGGUUGUAAACCGCUUUCGCCUGUGACGAAGCGUGAGUGACGGUAAUGGGUAAAGAAGCACCGGCUAACUACGUG
RNAcentral lists this ribosomal RNA (468 nucleotides) under uncultured bacterium. RNAcentral describes it as "partial 16S ribosomal RNA". It matches the Rfam family "Bacterial small subunit ribosomal RNA", at positions 28 to 507 of the family's 1533-position model. The record is from RNAcentral.